GAUGAACGCUGGCGGCGUGCUUAACACAUGCAAGUCGAGCGAACGGACGAGAAGCUCGCUCCCCUGAUGUUAGCGGCGGACGGGCGAGUAACACGUGGAUAACCUACUUAUAAGACUGGGAUAACUACGGGAAACCGGAUACAAUACCGGAUAAUAUUUUGAACGGCAUGGUUCAAAAGAGAAUGACGGUCUUGGCGUCACUUAUAGCUGGAUCCGCGCUGCAUUAGCUAGUUGGUAAGGUAACGGCUUACCAAGGCAACGAUGCAUAGCCGACCUGAGAGGGUGAUCGGCCACACUGGAACUGAGACACGGUCCAGACUCCUACGGGAGGCAGCAGUAGGGAAUCUUCCGCAAUGGGCGAAAGCCUGACGGAGCAACGCCGCGUGAGUGAUGAAGGUCUUCGGAUCGUAAAACUCUGUUAUUAGGGAAGAACAUAUGUGUAAGUAACUGUGCACAUCUUGACGGUACCUAAUCAGAAAGCCACGGCUAACUACGUG
Molecule: ribosomal RNA, 497 nt
Filed under: uncultured bacterium
Lineage: Bacteria
Description: partial 16S ribosomal RNA
Rfam family: Bacterial small subunit ribosomal RNA
Source: RNAcentral